GGAGAGGUCGCAUAGCCUGGUCGAGUGCGCCCGCCUCGAAAGCGGGUAGGCAGAAAUGCCUCGUGGGUUCAAAUCCCACCCUCUCCG
This 87-nucleotide transfer RNA is filed under the name Chloroflexota bacterium. Its description in RNAcentral is "Chloroflexi bacterium (sediment metagenome) tRNA-Ser". It matches the Rfam family "tRNA". From Rfam's summary of the family: Transfer RNA (tRNA) molecules are approximately 80 nucleotides in length. Their secondary structure includes four short double-helical elements and three loops (D, anti-codon, and T loops). Further hydrogen bonds mediate the characteristic L-shaped molecular structure. tRNAs have two regions of fundamental functional importance: the anti-codon, which is responsible for specific mRNA codon recognition, and the 3' end, to which the tRNAs corresponding amino acid is attached (by aminoacyl-tRNA synthetases). tRNAs cope with the degeneracy of the genetic code in two manners: having more than one tRNA (with a specific anti-codon) for a particular amino acid; and 'wobble' base-pairing, i.e. permitting non-standard base-pairing at the 3rd anti-codon position. Lineage: Bacteria; Bacillati; Chloroflexota. The record is from RNAcentral.